UGAGUAAUGUCUGGGAAACUGCCUGAUGGAGGGGGGAGUAACUACUGGAAACGGUAGCUAAUACCGCAUAACGUCGCAAGACCAAAGAGGGGGACCUUCGGGCCUCUUGCCAUCGGAUGUGCCCAGAUGGGAUUAGCUAGUAGGUGGGGUAAAGGCUCACCUAGGCGACGAUCCCUAGCUGGUCUGAGAGGAUGACCAGCCACACUGGAACUGAGACACGGCCCAGACUCCUACGGGAGGCAGCAUG
RNAcentral lists this ribosomal RNA (247 nucleotides) under uncultured bacterium. Its description in RNAcentral is "partial 16S ribosomal RNA". It matches the Rfam family "Bacterial small subunit ribosomal RNA", at positions 107 to 353 of the family's 1533-position model. The record is from RNAcentral.